GUUUAGCUAGCAGAGAGAGGAAGAGACAAGAUGAUUUAUUGAGCUUUCUCCAAUUCUGUCCAUCACUGCCACCGGAGGAUCCCAAGAAGGAAGAGACGGUCGAAGUCUAAAACAUCAGAAAUGGGAAACAUAAGCUUCUCUCUUUUCCAGUUUGGUGGUCCUGCUGCUCUUUUAGCAAGAUCUAAAUUGGAUUAUGACUCUUUGGAAGAAGAAAUUGCAGGGGGUAUUUCUCCAGAUUUAUCAGUGAAUUGCGGGGUAUUUCGCCAAAUUUAUCCGUGAACCGACAUGGUGGUCAUGAUGCCUGCAGUAUGAAAGACACUAUUUAAAGAAUACAAUUUGCUUGCUGCAAUUAAUGGAAUAAAUUUUUCUUUCUUCUGAUUUUGUUAGGUAAGAUGUUAAAAUUCCUAUCUGGUUAUUGCUACCGAAUAGAAGGAAAAAGAGCAAGAUGGGUUCUAAAAAGAGACCACAAAUAUUGAAUUGUUAUGAAAUGAGCGGAAGGCAGUUUAUGUAGGUGGGUGGAGGUCUAAUUGAUUGCAUAAUUUAAGAAUGUCUAUUAAUAUGUGUUUUCUGCAUCAAAAUUGGCUCCAGUUAAUUCUAUAUGUUUUUUAAUUAUGAUGCAAAUUAUUCUGAAAAUUGUGUAGUUUUGGAGUGCAAACUUUUAUACUGGCUAUAUAUUACAGGGGAAAUCUCGCCAUAGUUGCCAAAGAGUUGUCGGUUUGUCCCAACGUGUAGUGAGUAUUCGAUGAUUGCUUACAAGAAGUAUGGAGUUGCGAAGGGAACCAUAUUGACUGCUUGGCGUCUUUGUUGUUGCAAUCCUCUUGGUGUGUCUUUUUUUUCUCUCUUAAAUCUUUCACAACCAUAUCACCUUCAACUUUCAUAAAUUUCUGAAAUACAGUGUUUGUAGCCUGUUGAUUCUAUUCCCUUUAUGAUAAGCUAACAAAUUAGGAAAUGUCCUCGUUAAUACUUUCUGAAAAUUAUGAAGCCCUUAUCUUUCAUUUUAUCAUCUUCUUUCGUUUAUUAAGUGAUAGUGACUUGAAAUGUGUCAUGAAUACCGUGUUCUUUCAAUUAAAAGAAAAAGCAAUGACAGGUGGAUCUGGUUUUGAUCCCCCAAGAUGGUUUAAUGAGCCAAGUCCUCCGGAGCAGUGAAUUCAUUUCGAGUGGGGAUGGCACAGCACAAGUUACUUCAUUUUAGUAAUCUUGAGUGAGUUUAGGUGUAAUACCCUUAUAUUUUGAUCUCUUGUGAAACUCUGAAAAUGGAGAGCAGAAAUCAUAAAAUAUAUAUUGCAUAACUAUUUUCCAUUGUUUGACUACUACCAGAAAGCAAGGGAGAAAUGAAAUACCUGUUGAAAAGCUAAGGUGUACCAUACAAUCUACUUUGCAGUUCAUUUUCCCUCUUUUUAUACUAGAUCG
RNAcentral lists this long non-coding RNA (1410 nucleotides) under Olea europaea subsp. europaea. Lineage: Eukaryota; Viridiplantae; Streptophyta; Magnoliopsida; Lamiales; Oleaceae. The record is from RNAcentral.